RNAcentral lists this ribosomal RNA (434 nucleotides) under uncultured bacterium. RNAcentral describes it as "bacterial SSU rRNA". It matches the Rfam family "Bacterial small subunit ribosomal RNA", at positions 29 to 447 of the family's 1533-position model. The record is from RNAcentral.
AACGAACGUUGGCGGCGUGGAUUAGGCAUGCAAGUCGAACGCGAAAGGGUAGCAAUACCCGAGUAAAGUGGCGAACGGGUGAGUAACGCGUAGGAAACCUGCCUUCGAGUGGGGGAUAACAUUCCUAACGGGGUGCUAAUACCGCAUGAAACUGCGGGAUCGCAUGGUUCUGCAGUCAAAGGUGGCCUCUAUUUAUAAGCUACCGCUCAAAGAUGGUCCUGCGUCCCAUUAGCUAGUGGCGGGGUAACGGCCCACCAAGGCAUCGAUGGGUAGCCGAUCUGAGAGGAUGACCGGCCACACUGGGACUGAGAUACGGCCCAGACUCCUACGGGAGGCAGCAGUCGAGAGGCUUCGGCAAUGGGGGAAACCCUGACCGAGCGACGCCGCGUGGAGGAUGAAGGCCCUUGGGUUGUAAACUCCUGUCAUGUGGGAAG